AACGAACGCUGGCGGCAUGCCUAACACAUGCAAGUCGAACGAGACCUUCGGGUCUAGUGGCGCACGGGUGCGUAACGCGUGGGAACCUGCCCUUAGGUUCGGAAUAACUCCCCGAAAGGGGUGCUAAUACCGGAUAAUGUCUUCGGACCAAAGAUUUAUCGCCUUUGGAUGGGCCCGCGUUGGAUUAGCUAGUUGGUAGGGUAAAAGCCUACUAAGGCGACGAUCCAUAGCUGGUCUGAGAGGAUGAUCAGCCACACUGGGACUGAGACACGGCCCAGACUCCUACGGGAGGCAGCAGUGGGGAAUAUUGGACAAUGGGCGAAAGCCUGAUCCAGCAAUGCCGCGUGAGUGAUGAAGGCCUUAGGGUUGUAAAGCUCUUUUAACCGGGAUGAUAAUGACAGUACCGGGAGAAUAAGCUCCGGCUAACUCCGUG
Molecule: ribosomal RNA, 433 nt
Filed under: uncultured bacterium
Lineage: Bacteria
Description: partial 16S ribosomal RNA
Rfam family: Bacterial small subunit ribosomal RNA
Source: RNAcentral